UACGGGGGGGCAAGCGUUGUUCGGAAUUACUGGGCGUAAAGGGCUCGUAGGCGGCCAACUAAGUCACACGUGAAAUCCCUCGGCUCAACCGGGGAACUGCGUGUGAGACUGGAUGGCUUGAGUUUGGGAGAGGAAUGCGGAAUUCCAGGUGUAGCGGUGAAAUGCGUAGAUAUCUGGAGGAACACCGGUGGCGAAGGCGGCAUUCUGGACCAACACUGACGCUGAGGAGCGAAAGCCAGGGGAGCAAACGGG
This 252-nucleotide unclassified non-coding RNA is filed under the name uncultured Acidobacteriota bacterium. RNAcentral describes it as "uncultured Acidobacteria bacterium contains 16S-23S intergenic spacer region". It matches the Rfam family "Bacterial small subunit ribosomal RNA", at positions 524 to 776 of the family's 1533-position model. The record is from RNAcentral. Lineage: Bacteria; Pseudomonadati; Acidobacteriota.